GGGCCCCCGUUCGGAGGUAACCGCGUUAUAGUAACCGCUAAACGACCGCAACGGUUACCACGGAUUUUUAUCGAACGCGACAGACGCCAAUCGCGAUUCUUUGACAAUUUGAAUAUUCACCAAACGGCUUGCAUUCCGCAAUAAUAACAAACCGGCGGACGAUAGACUUUUGUCAAUUGAUUUUUUUCUUUUCUCUCUAAAUCAUAAACUUAAAACUACCGUCGAUUCGACAUUAACACAACACGAGACGGACAGCAUAAGUGUUUCAAUGUGUAUUUUAUCUUACCACUGUACAUAAUAAUCAUGUAGUACCACGAAUUGUUCACAAUACAUCCAAGUUGGAGUGCAUCAAGAAGAAACAGCCUGCGUUUGAUUAAAUGUUGGAAGCCGGGAGUCCGAGAAAAUGGCAUAGCCCACAUAAGCAGGCUGUGUGACAAAUCCAAAACAUAUACACUGUUAUUUACAUUCUGAUUGUCUCAUACAACAUAUUAUCCGGCUGAAGCGGAUCUUCGUCAGUACAUUGUUGAAUUUCGCGAGGUCGACAAAUGACUGCACUUACAACAGUCGAGAUGGAAAAUCAAUUUUAAAUUUGAACAUGAAAAUUAAGAAAAAAAUCCGUUCAACUGGUGAUGCAACCGGUGCUUACAAGAAAUGGAAACACUAAGGUGGACGUCGUAAAAACUUCAUGCUAGGCACUAUAGUCACCACUUCAGACGUUUUGUUAAAUCAUACCUUGCACAACAGCUAACCCACCAACAAUCAUUACUCCGACAAUUAGAUAUUGCCACAGCAACCGAUUAUAACACAUUGAACACUGAAUACCAACUUAACUGAACACUAACAUGCUAAAAACCUAAAAGCAUCCAAACGCAACAAUGGGAAUUGUCACAUAAUUCUUAACUCCUUCCUCAACAAAAUACCAAUAUGCUCAGCGAUACUGGGACCCGCAGACAACAACGGUGAUUUAUUAAACUUAACGGACGGUCACUAACUCAUUUGUACCAAACGACAUACGACUCGGAAGCUCAUGACCCAACUUUUGACGCAGCUUUAACAGUGUGCAUAUUCAAUCACUUGUUUUACGCACCGGACUUGACAAAAUAGAAUCUUACCUCGAUACAUAUAAAUAAAAGGAAGUUAUAAUGGAAAAAAUAAGGGCUGUGUUUUUGGUGAAGUAGAAUUUUAGUAUAUAUUUUUGUUAUUAAAAUAAAUAAAUAAUGUUUUAAGUUUAAGGGGAAAUAUAGUAUUAAGAAAACACGGGGUUAACUUUUAUUAUAAAUUUGUUAAAUUAAUAAACUAUUUAACAUAACCAACGUGGUGUCGACUACAUUAAUUACGAUAUCCUAUUACCGUAGGUUAUAUUAUUACAAUGCAAGUGUAGGUGGACGGUUAGAGACAGCUUGCUAACAACUCUAAACCAAGGUAAGACUAACUCGAGAAACUGUGGCCACUGGAACUAACCGGGGUAAAAAAAAAACAAACAAACAUUAAAGGCUAAUACUCACUUCCUACAACGAAAAGAAAAAAAAAUUCGAUUUCCUUUUUAUUUUCUACUUUGAAAACAAAUAGAGAAUACAUUAAAAUACAAAAUUAUGAUACAGACUGUAUAUUAAAAAUAUAGACAAUAAACGUAAAAUACAACAAAGAAACAAACAUUGAAUGUUAUAUUUUAAACAAUCCUAGAGUAUUUAGCAAACAGGGAAGUUGGACAACUUUCAAAAAUCUUACUUCUUCGUCAUCGACCUGGAAUUUCAUGAACCUAAACCCUGAAAAAAGAGUACUCGUCUCUGGAGCAGAGUUGGAAGUAAUUAAGUACAUUUGUACUUAAGUACUUAAGUAAAAGUAUGAAAGUUCCACUUCUGGAACAUCAGUAAAAGGUCGGGAAAGCAAAUGCAGUGAGUUAAGAGACUCGAGUACUUCAAAAGUAAUUGCAAGUACAAUUACAUGUACUUGUAGUUCCACUUCUAGCGAGAACACGUAUAAGUACAAAUACUUUGAAUAGGAAUAUAAAAGUAAAAAAAUAACGAGUACAAAUAUUGUAAAUAUCCAAUAGAUUUAAAUUAAUUAUAAAUUAUUCCUAUAGUAAGAAUAUAUAAGUUAACACAUUAAUUUAAUUAAUUCAAUUGUACCCAUAUAAA
Molecule: long non-coding RNA, 2138 nt
Organism: Adelges cooleyi (spruce gall adelgid)
Lineage: Eukaryota; Metazoa; Arthropoda; Insecta; Hemiptera; Adelgidae
Exons: 3
Source: RefSeq, a predicted model, not a curated record